Amblyraja radiata (thorny skate) is the source of this 98-nucleotide long non-coding RNA. RefSeq lists it as uncharacterized. The transcript is spliced from 3 exons. The record is from RefSeq and is a predicted model, not a curated record. NCBI's taxonomy places the organism in Eukaryota, Metazoa, Chordata, Chondrichthyes, Rajiformes, Rajidae.
GCGUUACUGUGAUGUGACUGGUGUUAUAAUGUAUUAUAGUGUAUUAUAGUCUUAGUGUGUAUUAUAGUGUAUUAGUGUAUUAUGUAUUAUGUAUAGUG